UGUAUUUUCUAUAUUUUGCUAAUUGCCCAUGACGGCGCUGCCCAGUGUCUCUAUAUUUCAUCUGCCUGCAGUCCUGCAGCAUCAAGCUCCUUACAUUAAUUCAACACAGAGAUGCAGCAGCAGCAGCUCUGGAUGACAUGGUCAUGAUGGCACAGUAGGGAAUCAAACCUUUGCUUUCAUUUGCAGAGCAGCAGUGUAACAGCUGACCCAUCAUCCAUUCGUGGAGAAAAAAUAUUGAGAGUGGAAGGAAGGAAUGAUAUGGAGAAGGAAAUAUUGAGCUAAUUACUUUUUUGAAUUGCUGUUUUCUACAAAAAUAGUCAAACGUGAGAGAGAUGAUUUUAUGAAUGUUGUAAAUGCUGCCACUUUCAACCCUGUCUUUGAAAUAUUUGAGAAGUGGAUUCAACAGCAUACUUAGACCUUUAAAGCAGUCAAGCUAUUUCUGUUUGAAAGUAUGAUCCAUAUAAGUACCAAGAAAAGACCACUCCUUUGACUGUUUUUCCUUCACUGCGGUGAAUGUGUAGGAAAGAUGUUGAAACAUGAAGGGUAGCAAAGUCCUACUACAGUUCUUCCAGUCACUCACUCAAGUUCUCUCUUUGCUGGCGGUUUGUUUUCUAUUCUCUGAAAACCUGCAUCUCAAGUGGUUAAAAUCUCUCAAGUACAUCAAAGAUGAAGUGGAAUUUUGAUAUCUUGUUCUUUAAAACUGAGUAUUCAAUGAAUACAGGGAACAUUAGAUGUCUUCUGGUUUUUCCUUUCAUUGUAGACCGGUGAAGCUGUGAAUCAGAAAUAAGGGGGGAAGAAAACAGAGUACAACGCAUUCCUUUUUCCUUUUUGGUUCUGAGGAACAAAAUAAGAAGUUUCCCUUGCCUCUUUUGCACGUCUUGGGAAAGUCACAACAGGGACCUGAAUGGAACACUCCAUUGAGCUGCUCUGAAGUUUUCUGAUGGUUCUGGGGCUAUAUUGUACUUUUCUUCUUUGGCUUUGUAUUCACAAAAGAAGAGCAUGGCUGUGCUGAAACUACAAUAUUUACCAUUUAAUGAAAAACGUGACUGAAAAAGCAAAAAUAAAAUAAAAAUGAGAAGUGAGCUUACCUUGAAACUGUAAUAUGCAGGUAACAACAUCUUUUAUUUUCUCGCAAUGUCAUUUGGUAAGUGUACAGUUGAGGUACGUUGGAUCUUAGGCAAUUGUUAGUCAGUUUGGAUAAGGUCUUUCUUAGAAAAAUAUUGUUUCAUAAAAAUUAUGAACUUGAUAGAAAAAUGAUUAUCUGGUCUAUUCUAUACAAAAUGUAUGUAAUUAUUGCAGGACUACCAUGUCUGCAAUUUGAAUUAUUUUCUAAUACUUUUGUGGUAUUACUCCAGCCCUGCAAAAAUCUAAUUUGUGCUGAAGACUGCAGACUUUUGUAUCUGUUAACUGUUGCUGAUUAAUUAGAGGCUGAAAAGCUUUUCAUUAUCCUUUAAUUUUAUUGUCUUUUAAUUUCAGCGCUAUGGUAGUAUUAAUAAAUUGUAAACAGUGCUUUGCAGACAGCAGCAGGGUACUGGAUGUGAAAGAAAAGAUUCAUUCUUUAGUGGUUUUGUUGUUAGAUGUAAGAAGUAAGCAAGAUGUAGUCUUUGCUGUGAUGGGGCAUUUGACAAGUAUAUCUUCUGCUUCUAGAACCAGCAUGGAAGAAGAGAUCUUGUUCCUCCUACAUUAGGACAGAAAUGUUUUCCUAGAAUGCUUUUUCUUUAGACUGGGCAUACUGUUUUACUACCUGAAAACUGGAGGUAAAAUUGCUUCAGGUGGGCUUGUCAUAACCUGGAGUUGUUCUGCUGGAAGUCAGGAAGACUGAUGCGCAAGAAUGAAGUGAACUCGCAGUGUGAGGAGAAAAGUGUCUAUUUGAAGAGGAAACAAUUACAAACAAAUCUGUCUUCUAAUAGCAAGCAUUCUGAAAUCAGGAUUCUCUGUGCUCCCAUUAAUGUCUAUAUAACACAAAAAUCUCCUCUGAGGACACUGGAAUUGCACAAGUGGUGCAUGGGAGAAAGGAAUGGAGUUCUGAGAGUGAUUGUGAAGACGUUGGAUGCUUUUCCCUGAAGAGGACAAAUUCAUCCCCAGGAAGAAAGGAAAAAUAUGCCGACAGUUUUGCAACGUAUUCUUUAGCAGAUGUUAUGAUGCGAUAGACAUUGGUCCACAGGGAGAGCCACAGAAAUUUGUUUGUGCAUUAAACAGAGCUUUAUGAGAAACAAGAAAUGUUCCUGCUGAGCAAUAGAUAUAAUCCAAAGCGUAUAGUCUUUGUGGGAAACUGGUUCUUACAAAUAAAUAUUUAAUUAACAAGAAAUAAAAGGGAGUAAUAAUGUCUUAACUUAAGAAUACAUUGCUCCAGAAUUCAAAAUUCAGUGUUUUUAAGCCUUGGAUAUUUUGCUGCUAAGUGUAAGAUGUCUGGAAGGAGCUGUCUGUUCAGAUGAUUACAUCUGGCAUCAGGCUUAAAGUCUUUUAUGCUUUGAGAAUUAGCCAUUUGUCAGUAUGCAUAGGAUUGCUCCUAAGAGUUAUACUGAUGACUUCAAAGAUAGAAGCUGAUGAGCCACUUGAAGUACAUAGUUCAGAUAAUAUUUUUUAAAGUAUCCUGACUGGGGAACUUUAGGAGAGAUAGUAAAAUAUUUUAGAGAAAGAGGUAAAAAAAAGAGCAAGAAAGAUUUUCAAAUAGGCCAUUUUUAUACAUAUAUAUGAGAUGAAAUGUAUCCCAGAAUUCCCAAUUAAUUUUGAAAGCAAUGCUUUUAGUGAAACAUCACAAAGCAAGUACAUUAAACUUGUUCUAAUUUUUGUAGGGCUAUGAUUUUAUUGUCAAUGAUUCUUUGAUACCCUUUAUCUGCUGAAGCUGUUGUAAUCAGUUCCUUUGAAUCAAGAAAUAACUGGAAGUUCAUAACAAAAGCACCAGGAAUUCCCAGAACUUAUCCUGCUUUCCACUACUGGGGAACACAAUCAAGAGAAAAAGCAAAUGAAAGAGAAGAAAAGGAGUGAAAGGUGGGAAAUACUUGGGAUUCAUGCAAUUCUAAAC
Long non-coding RNA from Lagopus muta (rock ptarmigan), 3025 nucleotides. RefSeq lists it as uncharacterized. The transcript is spliced from 6 exons. The record is from RefSeq and is a predicted model, not a curated record. Lineage: Eukaryota; Metazoa; Chordata; Aves; Galliformes; Phasianidae.